UACAGAGGGUGCGAGCGUUAAUCGGAAUUACUGGGCGUAAAGCGUGCGUAGACGGUUAUUUAAGUCAGAUGUGAAAGCCCCGGGCUCAACCUGGGAAUUGCAUUUGAGACUGAAUAGCUAGGGUGCGGUAGAGGGAAGCGGAAUUUCCGGUGUAGCGGUGAAAUGCGCAGAUAUCGGGAGGAACACCAGUAGCGAAGGCGGCACUCUGGGCCGGUACUGACGCUGAGGAGCGAAAGCGUGGGGAGCGAACAGG
RNAcentral lists this ribosomal RNA (253 nucleotides) under uncultured bacterium. RNAcentral describes it as "partial 16S ribosomal RNA". It matches the Rfam family "Bacterial small subunit ribosomal RNA", at positions 524 to 776 of the family's 1533-position model. The record is from RNAcentral.